GAUGAACGCUGGCGGCGUGCCUAAUACAUGCAAGUCGAGCGAACAGACGAGGAGCUUGCUCCUCUGACGUUAGCGGCGGACGGGUGAGUAACACGUGGAUAACCUACCUAUAAGACUGGGAUAACUUCGGGAAACCGGAGCUAAUACCGGAUAAUAUAUUGAACCGCAUGGUUCAAUAGUGGAAGACGGUUUUGCUGUCACUUAUAGAUGGAUCCGCGCCGCAUUAGCUAGUUGGUAAGGUAACGGCUUACCAAGGCAACGAUGCGUAGCCGACCUGAGAGGGUGAUCGGCCACACUGGAACUGAGACACGGUCCAGACGCCUACGGGAGGCAGCAGUAGGGAAUCUUCCGCAAUGGGCGAAAGCUUGACGGAGCAACGCCGCGUGAGUGAUGAAGGUCUUCGGAUCGUAAAACUCUGUUAUUAGGGAAGAACAAAUGUGUAAGUAACUAUGCACGUCUUGACGGUACCUAAUCAGAAAGCCACGGCUAACUACGUG
RNAcentral lists this ribosomal RNA (497 nucleotides) under uncultured bacterium. Its description in RNAcentral is "partial 16S ribosomal RNA". It matches the Rfam family "Bacterial small subunit ribosomal RNA", at positions 28 to 507 of the family's 1533-position model. The record is from RNAcentral.